RNAcentral lists this ribosomal RNA (403 nucleotides) under uncultured bacterium. RNAcentral's name for it is "partial 16S ribosomal RNA". It matches the Rfam family "Bacterial small subunit ribosomal RNA", at positions 28 to 526 of the family's 1533-position model. The record is from RNAcentral.
GACGAACGCUGGCGGCGUGCCUAAUACAUGCAAGUCGAACGCAGUGGGGACGGGUGAGUAACACGUGGGUAACCUCCCAUCAGAGGGGAUAACACUUGGAAACCGGCGCUAAACCGAUACUGAUGGCUGGUCCCGCGGGGCAUUAGCUAGUUGGUGAGGUAACGGCUCACCAAGGCCCAGAAGCAUAGCCGACCAGAGAGGAUGAUCAGCCACACUGGGACUGAGACACGGCCCAGACUCCUACGGGAGGCAGCAGUAGGGAAUCUUCGGCAAUGGACGAAAGUCUGACCGAGCAACGCCGCGUGAGUGAAGAAGGUCUUCGGGUUGUAAAACUCUGUUGGUAGAGAAGCGUUAUCUAACCAGAAAGCCACGGCUAACUACGUGCCAGCAGCCGCGGUAAUAC